This 473-nucleotide ribosomal RNA is filed under the name uncultured bacterium. RNAcentral's name for it is "SSU rRNA". It matches the Rfam family "Bacterial small subunit ribosomal RNA", at positions 32 to 518 of the family's 1533-position model. The record is from RNAcentral.
AGGACAAAACGCUGGCGGCGUACCUAAGACAUGCAAGUCGAACGGGGGAUGGACCCUUCGGGGACCAUCUCGAGUGGCGAACGGGUGAGUAACACGUAGGAACCUGACGUUUGGUGGGGGAUAACGCUGGGAAACCGGCGCUAAUACCGCAUGAGGUCCCUCGAAAGGGGGAGCAAAGCAGCAAUGCGCCAGAUGAGGGGCCUGUGGCCGAUUAGCUAGUUGGUGAGGUAAAGGCCCACCAAGGCGACGAUCGGUAGCUGGUCUGAGAGGAUGGUCAGCCACACUGGGACUGAGACACGGCCCAGACUCCUACGGGAGGCAGCAGUUAGGAAAUUUUCGCAAUGGGGGAAACCCUGACGGAGUAACGCCGCGUGGAGGAUGACGGCUUUCGGGUUGUAAACUCCUUUUCUGUGGGAAGAGUAGAAGACGGUACCGCAGGAAGAAGCCUCGGCUAACUACGUGCCAGCAGCCGC